UACGAGGGGGUGCAAGCGUUGCUCGGAAUUAUUGGGCGUAAAGGGUAGGUAGGUGGUCUCACUUUGUCUGGGGUGAAAGCCUUGAGCUUAACUCGAGAAGUGCCUCAGAAACGGUGAGACUAGAGUUCUGGAGAGGGAAGUGGAAUUCCUGGUGUAGAGGUGAAAUUCGUAGAUAUCAGGAGGAACACCAGUGGCGAAGGCGGCUUCCGUGGACACCAACUGACGCUGAGACGCGAAAGCAUGGGGAGCGAACAGG
Molecule: ribosomal RNA, 256 nt
Filed under: uncultured bacterium
Lineage: Bacteria
Description: partial 16S ribosomal RNA
Rfam family: Bacterial small subunit ribosomal RNA
Source: RNAcentral